UGUAUUAUAGCACUUGCAAUGUGCUAUUUAAUGCAUACAUUAUGUUAUCUUUGUGGUGUUUGUUUGGUUUUUUGUUUUGUUUUGUUUUCAUUUUGUUCCCCAUUUCUAAGUACUUUUUAACAUCCUGUUAGCAUAUAGUACCACAGAGUUUGCUCAGAGGCUGCAAGUGGACCUGUAAGUGAAUUGCUGCUGGUUGUUAUCCACCUUCAUCAAAGUUAACUGUAGGUUGCCUUGUUUAGAAAGUAUUACUUUACCCAUGUUUUGUUUCCCCCGUUUCCCCUUCCCCCCCCCCACACACACACAUACAAAAAAAUAUAUAUACAUAUAACCAGACUUGAAAAAUACACAUUUUUUCCACAGCUCUUAAAAGCUAGAACUACUGUCAAAAGGGACUCAGGAACUGCUUUAGGCUGAAAUUCAGCCUGUGAAAAGGAGUAGUGCAAGACCUCCACAUCAACGAUGAGGAGUUUAGUUACUCCAAUCACUUUUGAUUUCAAGAAAUACCUUUACGCAGUCUAUAGUUGGUUAUUUCAGUGUUUCCAUUGGCUUUGCUAAUAUUCAGCAUUCUAGGAAUAAUGUCUUAGUCUUCCCUUAAAAAUAUCAUAAACAGCCUUUCCCAGAAGAUUCAUAUUAUCAAAUGACUACAGUUUAGUCUUAAGCCUAUAAAAACAUCUAGAAACAUAAGCGCUAAAACGUACAGAGCAACAAACAGUACCCUUAGCAGCUUUUCCUUGAGGAGUACGAUAACUCAGAACAAUACCAUUAAAUUUCCCUUCACUCUUAGGACCACAACGGCUACAUGUAUAGUGCUGAUCUCAAACUCACCCAGUCGGAAAGCUUUACAAUUUAGGAAAAAAAAUAAAUAACAUCACAGAAGUGGAGAUUAGGAUAGAAGAAAAGGUUCAGAAAACAAUAUCUCUACCCAAGGAGUGGAUCACAUUGCACUGAUAGAAAUUUAAUGGUUCUUCAGGAAGCAUAAUGAACAACCUUAUCUCAGGAGACCUCUGUUCUCUACACACAUCAAGAGUGGUGACAGCUCAUCCUUCCCAGAAACCAAUACCAGGAAGAAAGUGCGCUGCCUGAGAACGUUAAACCUACAGCAAUGUUAGAUGCCUGCUGUCAUCAGGGACAAGUAUUACC
Molecule: long non-coding RNA, 1140 nt
Filed under: Anas platyrhynchos platyrhynchos (common mallard)
Lineage: Eukaryota; Metazoa; Chordata; Aves; Anseriformes; Anatidae
Description: lncRNA (ENSAPLG00000019968.1)
Source: RNAcentral